Pelobates cultripes (western spadefoot toad) is the source of this 488-nucleotide non-coding RNA. The record is from the annotation of a GenBank genome assembly. NCBI's taxonomy places the organism in Eukaryota, Metazoa, Chordata, Amphibia, Anura, Pelobatidae.
UUUGGCUUUAAAUUUUAAAUUCCCUUUGAAUUCACUUUAGUAAACAACCCUGGUGUAUUUACUGAUAAUACUGCAAAAGAAUAAAAACUGUAAAAUACUCUGCCCUGGGACAAGAUUUAUCAGUCAAACAACUCCAAAACCACAACUCCAAUGGCUUUAUGUAUUUGGAUAGUAUAUCAAAGUGAAUAAAAUGUAGAAAUGUGCAAAUCGUUUCAGUCCGAAUUUAAAUUCAGACGAAUUUUGGCAAUUCGGACAUUCGGAUGCUUCCGAAUGUCCAAAUUGUCAAAGUGCUGAACCGAACCAAAUUGCUGAAGCUUCAAAUUGCCAAAGAGACGAAUUUCAGAAGUGCUGAAGUGCUUCGGAUUUCUGAAAAGUGGCAAAACAGUAAAGGGGAGGGAAAUUAAGGGAAUGAUGACAGGAAUCUACACCUAACCCUUACCCCAACCUUCUUCUAACCUUAACCCUACCCCUAACCCUAGAAGGUUAGG